This 253-nucleotide ribosomal RNA is filed under the name uncultured bacterium. Its description in RNAcentral is "partial 16S ribosomal RNA". It matches the Rfam family "Bacterial small subunit ribosomal RNA", at positions 524 to 776 of the family's 1533-position model. The record is from RNAcentral.
UACGUAGGGGGCAAGCGUUGUCCGGAAUCAUUGGGCGUAAAGCGCGUGUAGGCGGCUCGGUAAGUCCGCUCUGAAAGUCCGGGGCUCAACCCCGGGAGGCGGGUGGAUACUGUCGAGCUCGAGUCCGGAAGAGGCGAGUGGAAUUCCUGGUGUAGCGGUGAAAUGCGCAGAUAUCAGGAGGAACACCGAUGGCGAAGGCAGCUCGCUGGGACGUGACUGACGCUGAGACGCGAAAGCGUGGGGAGCGAACAGG